Molecule: ribosomal RNA, 1465 nt
Filed under: uncultured Bordetella sp.
Lineage: Bacteria; Pseudomonadati; Pseudomonadota; Betaproteobacteria; Burkholderiales; Alcaligenaceae
Description: partial 16S-23S ribosomal RNA intergenic spacer
Rfam family: Bacterial small subunit ribosomal RNA
Source: RNAcentral
GUUCGAUUAUAAGCUCAGAUUGAACGCUGGCGGGAUGCUUUACACAUGCAAGUCGAACGGCAGCACGGACUUCGGUCUGGUGGCGAGUGGCGAACGGUGGAUAAUGUAUCGGAACGUGCCUAGUAGCGGGGGAUAACUACGCGAAAGCAUCAUGUGCAUACGCCCAUUCGGGGGAAAGCGGGGGGACCUUCGGGCCUCGGCACAACAGAGCGGCCGAUAUCGGAUUAGCUAGUUGGUGGGGUAACGGCUCGCAAGGCGACGAUCCGUAGCUGGUUUGAGAGGACGACCAGCCACACUGGGACUGAGACUUUGACCUUGAACUCCUACAGGAGGCAGCAGUGGGGAAUUUUGGACAAUGGGGAAACCUGAUCCAGCCAUCCCGCAUCAAUGCGUGAGGCCCUUCAGGUUAUGACUUUGGCAGGAAAAACAGCACGGGGAUAAUACCCCGUGCAACUGACAGUACCUGCAGAAUAAGCACCGGCUAACUACGUGCCAGCAGCCGCGGUAAUACGUGGUGCAAGCGUUAAUCGGAAUUACUGGGCGUAAAGCGUGCGCAGGCGGUUCCGGAAAGAUGUGAAAUCCCAGGCUUAACUUUGGAACUGCAUUUUUAACACCGAGCUAGAGUGUGUCAGAGGGAGGUGGAAUUCCGCGUGUAGCGGUGGACCACGUAGAUAUGGAGGGACUUACCGAUGGCGAAAACUUUGCUUCUGGGAUAACACUGACGCUCAUGCACGAAAGCAUGGGGAGCAAACGGGAUUCAAGUGCCCUGGUAGUCCACGCCCUAAACGAUAUUGGCUGUUGGGGCCUUCGGUAGCAGUAGCAGCUAACGCGUGAAGUUGACCGCCUGCAGAGUACGGUCGCAAGAUUAAAACUCAAAGGAAUUGACAGGGACCCGCACAAGCGGUGGAUGAUGUGGAUUAAUUCGAUGCAACGCGAAAAAGAAACCUUACCUACCCUUGACAUGUCUGGAAUCCCGAAGAGAUUUAGGGUGCUCGCAAGAGAACCGGAACACAGGUGCUGCAUGGCGUCGUCAGCUCGUGUCGUGAGAUGUUGGGUUAAGUCCCGCAACGAGCGCAAUACUGUCAUUAGUUGCUACGAAAGGGCACUCUAAUGAGACUGCCGGUGACAAACCGGAGGAAGGUAGAGGAUGACGUCAAGUCCUCAUGGCCCUUAUGGGUAGGGCUUCACACGUCAUACAAUGGUCGGGACAGAGGGUCGCCAACCCGCGGAGGCCAAUCGAAACCCGAUCGUAGUCCGGAUCGCAGUCUGCAACUCGACUGCGUUGAAGUCGGAAUCGCUAUUAAUCGCGGAUCAGCAUGUCGCGGUGAAUACGUUCCCGGGUCUUGUACACACCGCCCGCCACACCAUGGGAGUGGGUUUUACCAGAAGCAGUUAGCCUAACCGUAAGGAGGGCGAUUACCAUGACAGGAUUCAUGACUGGGGUGAAGUCAUGUAAGGUAACUCU